GAUGAACGCUGGCGGCGUGCUUAACACAUGCAAGUCGAACGGACUUUAAAUGAAGCCUAGCGAUUUUAAAGUUAGUGGCGGACGGGUGAGUAACGCGUGGGUAACCUGCCGUAUACAGGGGGAUAACACUUAGAAAUAGGUGCUAAUACCGCAUAAGCGCACAGCUUUGCAUGAAGUAGUGUGAAAAACUCCGGUGGUAUACGAUGGACCCGCGUCUGAUUAGCUAGUUGGUGAGGUAACGGCCCACCAAGGCGACGAUCAGUAGCCGGCCUGAGAGGGUGAACGGCCACAUUGGGACUGAGACACGGCCCAAACUCCUACGGGAGGCAGCAGUGGGGAAUAUUGCACAAUGGGGGAAACCCUGAUGCAGCGACGCCGCGUGAACGAAGAAGUAUUCGGUAUGUAAAGGUUCUAUCAGCAGGGAAGAAAAUGACGGUACCUGACUAAGAAGCCCCGGCUAACUACGUG
This 468-nucleotide ribosomal RNA is filed under the name uncultured bacterium. Its description in RNAcentral is "bacterial SSU rRNA". It matches the Rfam family "Bacterial small subunit ribosomal RNA", at positions 28 to 507 of the family's 1533-position model. The record is from RNAcentral.